This 481-nucleotide ribosomal RNA is filed under the name uncultured bacterium. RNAcentral describes it as "partial 16S ribosomal RNA". It matches the Rfam family "Bacterial small subunit ribosomal RNA", at positions 28 to 523 of the family's 1533-position model. The record is from RNAcentral.
GACGAACGCUGGCGGCGUGCUUAACACAUGCAAGUCGAACGCUGAAGCCCUUCGGGGUGGAUGAGUGGCGAACGGGUGAGUAACACGUGGGUAAUCUGCCCUGCACUCUGGGAUAAGCCUUGGAAACGGGGUCUAAUACCGGAUAGGACACAUCGCCGCAUGGUGUGUGUGUGGAAAGUUCCGGCGGUGCAGGUUGAGCCCGCGGCCUAUCAGCUUGUUGGUGGGGUGAUGGCCUACCAAGGCGACGACGGGUAGCCGGCCUGAGAGGGUGACCGGCCACACUGGGACUGAGACACGGCCCAGACGCCUACGGGAGGCAGCAGUGGGGAAUCUUGCGCAAUGGGCGAAAGCCUGACGCAGCAACGCCGCGUGGGGGAUGACGGCCUUCGGGUUGUAAACCUCUUUCGACCGGGACGAAGGAUUCGUUUGACGGUACCGGUAGAAGAAGCACCGGCUAACUACGUGCCAGCAGCAGCCGCAG